GCGGGGGUAGUUCAGCGAUAGAACGUCCGGCUCUCCACCGGUUCGACGCUGGUUUGAAUCCAGCCCCCUGCC
This 72-nucleotide transfer RNA is filed under the name Myxococcales bacterium. Its description in RNAcentral is "tRNA-Glu". It matches the Rfam family "tRNA". Rfam says of the family: Transfer RNA (tRNA) molecules are approximately 80 nucleotides in length. The record is from RNAcentral. Lineage: Bacteria; Pseudomonadati; Myxococcota; Myxococcia; Myxococcales.